AUGAACGCUGGCGGCGUGCUUCACACAUGCAAGUCGAACGAGAAGUGAAGACGGAAACCUUCGGGCGGAAGGCUUUAUUUCGAGUGGCGGACGGGUGAGUAACGCGUGGGUAACCUGCCUCAUACAGGGGGAUAACAGUUGGAAACGACUGUUAAUACCGCAUAAGACCACAGCACCGCAUGGUGCGGGGGUAAAAACUCCGGUGGUAUGAGAUGGACCCGCGUUCGAUUAGCCAGUUGGCGGGGUAACGGCCCACCAAAGCGACGAUCGAUAGCCGAUCUGAGAGGAUGACCGGCCACAUUGGGACUGAGACACGGCCCAAACUCCUACGGGAGGCAGCAGUGGGGAAUAUUGCACAAUGGGGGAAACCCUGAUGCAGCGACGCCGCGUGAGUGAAGAAGUAUUUCGGUAUGUAAAGCUCUAUCAGCAGGGAAGAAAAUGACGGUACCUGAGGAAGAAGCCCCGGCUAACUACGUG
RNAcentral lists this ribosomal RNA (477 nucleotides) under uncultured bacterium. RNAcentral describes it as "partial 16S ribosomal RNA". It matches the Rfam family "Bacterial small subunit ribosomal RNA", at positions 29 to 507 of the family's 1533-position model. The record is from RNAcentral.